UUUUCCCAUAGAAGUUAUUAAAAAAUACUGAGUUCCCUGAGCUAUACUGUAUAGGUCCUUGUUGAUAAUCUAUUUUACAUAAGUAAGUAGUCUAUAUAUUAAUCCCAAACACCUAAAAAUAAUUUAUUUUACCACUAAACAAAAAGAAAUUGUAAAAGCCAGAAAGAUAAUGCACCUCAAAUUUCCCAAUACUCAAGAAAAACUUUAUAGUCCCACAGAGUGAAAAAGCAAAGAACAAAGAGUUUCACAGCUUUUCAAUAGAUCGGUUGAGCAGAUAUACUAUAUCACACAUAAAAAUGGCAACAGCUUUCUAAUUUUAAAACAGGCUUUGAAAAAUUAAAUACCACAGUGCCCUCUACUGUCAUUUUUAAGGAACCCAAAUAAUCUGUAAACCCUAGGUCUUACAUUUCUGAAACUAUAUUCAAUAUAAUGAAGAAAAUGCUUUUCAUUAUUAAUAUAAUAAUUAACUUUCAUCUCAUAAAGAGAAGCAAUCUCAACUGUGUCUGUCUGCUUCAAGUGUAAAUAACAAUGAAAUUCUCAUGACCCCCUAGACUGUUUUUACCAGUACAUUAUUUUAUUUUAUAAAUGCCUCCUGAGUAAAGGCUUGGGGAGGGGAAACACUGUUAUAGGAGAGGAAGUAACUCUAUAAGGAGAAUAAAUAUCUUUAGAUAAGACUUGAAGAAAUCUGUGCCCCAGAGGGCAUACAUACCUAAAACAGCAGUCUCCAAAGUGAGUUAAGUACAAUAUCUCAAUGGACUGCAAAAAGAAAAUACUAUAACAUCUAUUUAUAAUUAAACAUUAAUAAUAUUUGGUAUAUAGAAUAAUACUCCCUCUAUGGAUGGUAUAUCACAUGGUUAUGUGUCAGGAUAUGUAGUAUUCUAAUAGAAAAGUAGGAGUUAAUGAAGUAUUAACAACAGCACCCACAAAGAAACUGUACAUACCCACAGAGAAUCUAUAUUGAGGAAAUUCAAAUUACACAAACGAACAAGUAUAUGGCAGAGCUCUUUCCUUCUUAACUCCUAUUUCAAACUCUUUAUUAGAGUUAAGAAAUACAAUCAUAUAUUACAAUAAUUUUAGAAAGUAGAAAUUAUAAAGAUCAUUUGAAUUGUAAAAUCAGAUUUUACUAUCACAAAAUUACAGUCACAGACCUCACUGUAAGUAUAUAUUAUGCAUCAAAAAUAAUAAAUAAUAAAAGUAGGACUCCAAAAUUAGCAAGACAUUUUUAAAUAGUUUAUUUCACCAUUAUCUCCUUCUUUUUAUCUUUGUUCAUGUUUUAUGAGGCAUAUUUUCAUUAGUUUAUGAUAAAUGUAUAUAUCACAGAAAUAUGUACACCUAUUAGAAUUACAUCCUAAAUUUUUUAACCAACUAUGGUAUAUAAUACCAAGAUAAUUACAAAAUAAUUACAGACCACUGGCCUAAAGAUAAGCUUGAUCUUAAUUACAGGAUCUAUAAUUAAGAAAAAAAAAUUAAUAGGUGUCAUUAUAACUAAAGAAGCCUUCAAGAGGAGCCAGAUGCUUGGAAAACAAAAGCCUGUAUACAGAGAGAUGACUAUAUACAGCAGCUAUAUAAAAGCCCCUACCACAGCUGCAAUGACAAAGUGACAGAUCAACUAAGGCUGGGAAUCUUAUCAUAAAGUUAUCAUCUAUAGUCAGUAUCCUACUAUUUCCUUUGUCCUCUUCUACAGAAAUACAAACAAAUAUAAAAAAUAUGCAGCAGGUUAAGUUAAGGAUCUGGUGAUGUCACUACAGGGGCCUGCCUGGGUUCGAUUCCUGGUCGAGGAACUUCCAUAUGCUGUUGGCAUGGAGGAAAAAAAAAUCUUUCUCAGUAUCAAGUUAAUCACUUUUUUCUGGAAACUGUUAUUUUAUACUUUCAUAAUUUGUCUUAAAUAUUAGUUACACAAACAUGUUUUCACUCAAUUCACUAUAAAUUCUAGAGGUAAUAAUUUAAUUAUUUUUCUAUAACUCAAGCUGUGCCUUUAUUGCAUACUGAAUUUAUAGUGAUUGAAUGAGCAAAGACUAUCCACACGAUUCAUCAAAGUAAGACUCCAGGUCCAUGUGUAGCAGAAUUUUAUACUCUUUAUCCAUUGACCAACUAAAAGAAACAGCAUGAAUGGCCAUCCUGACAAGCAGGGAGUCAAAGGUUAAAGUUAUCCCAAGGACCUCAGUAGAGAUACUUUACAAAAAAAAAAAAAAAUAGCAUAGAUAAAGGAACCAUGUUACUUGGAAACAUUUUCAUUUUGUUUAUUUUUCCUUCUCCUUUCCUUUGCCUAAAAACUGUCUAUAUUUUAAAAUAUAGAUUUUUGAAUAGCUGAUUAAGGAACUAUUCCUCUAAAUUUAUAUAAAUGUCCAUUUCUUCAAAAGAACAAAAUAGAAUUAAGAAUUUUCUUUGAUAAAAGAGAGAGAGAGCUUUAGCAGCACAUACACUAAAAUUGGAACAAAACAAAGAUUAGCAUGGUCCCUGCUCAAAAAAAUGAAAAGUUAUCCCAAGCUCCUGGAUCAGAAGAAUUAACAUUGUUUAAAUGGCCAUACUAACCAAAGCAAUCUACAGAAUUAAUGCAAUCUUUAUGAAAUUACCAGUGACAUUUUUCACAGAACUAGAACAAAUAAUCCUAAAAUUUAUUUGGAACCAUAAAAGACCCAGAAUUGCCAAAUCAAUUAUGAGGGGAAAAAAACUCUCCCAUACUUCAGACAAUACUACAAACCUACAGUAAUCAAAACAGUGUGGUAUUUGUACAAAAACAGACAUAUGGAUCAAUAGACCAGAACAGAGAGCACAGAAAGAAACUCACACACCUAAGAUUAAUCAAUCUUUGACAAAGGAGGUAAAUAUUUAUAUACAAUGCAAAAAAAGAUAGUCUUUUGGCAAGUGGUGCUGUGAAAACUGGACAGCUACAUGUCCAACAAUGAAGUUAGAACUCACCCUCACACCAUGCACAAAAAUAAACUUAAAAUGGCUUAAAGACAAACAAGACAUGAAACCAUGAAAUCCAAGAAGAAAUCAUAGGCAAAACAUUCUCUGGCAUAAAUCAUAACAAUGUUUUCUUGUCAGUCUCCAAGGCAAUAAAAAUAAAAACAAAACAAAACAAAAAAAACAAAUUGGGAGUUUCCACUGUGGCUCAGUGGGUUAAGAACUCGACAUAGUCUCUGUGAGGGUGCUGGUUCAAUCCAUGGUCUUGCUCAAUGGGUUAUGGAUCCAACAUUGCCACAAGCUGCUAUGCAGUUCACAAAUCUAUCUCGGAUCUGGUGUUGCUGUGGCUGUGGCAUAAGUUGGCAGCUGCAGCCCUGAUUUGACCCCGAGCCUGGGAAUUUCCAUAUGCCACAGGUGCAGCCUUAAAAAGAAAGAAAAAAAAGGAAAAAAAAAUUUUUAAACAUAGUACCUAGGCGUUCCCAUCGUGGCUCAGUGGUUAACGAAUCCGACUAGGAACCAUGAGGUUGCAGGUUCGAUCCCUGGCCUUGCUCAGUGGGUGAAGGAUCCAGCAUUGCUGUGAGCUGUGGUGUAGGUUGCAGACACGGCUCAGAUCCUGCAUUGCUGUGGCUCUGGCAUAGGCCGGUGGCUGCAGCUCUGAUUCAGCCCCCUAGCCUGGGAACCUCCAUAUGCCGUGGGAGCUGCCCAAGAAAUAGCAAAAAAAAGACAAAAAAAAAAAAAAAGAGAAAGACAAAUACCAUAUGAUAUCGCUUAUAUCUGGAAUCUAAUAUACAGCACAAAUGAACCUCGCCACGGAAAAGAGAAUCAUGGACGUGGAGAAGAGAUUUUUGGUUGCCAAGGGGGUGGGAGUAAGAUGGAUUCGGAAUUUGGGGUUAAUAGAUGCAAACUGUUGCAUUUGGAAUGGAUGAACACUGAGAUCCUGCUGUAUAGCACUGGGAACUAUGUCUAGUCACUUAUGAUGCAGCAUGAUAAUGUAAGAAAAAAGAAUGUAUACAUGCAUGUGUGACUAGGUCACCUUUCUGUACAGUAGAAAAUUGACAGAAUACUGUAAACCAGCUUUAAUGGAAAAAAUAAAAAUCAUUAUAAUGAAAAAAAAUAGUACCUAAUUAAACUUACAAGCUUUUGCACAGCAAAGGAAACCAUAAACAAAACAAAAAGAUAAUGUAUGGCAUGGGAGCAAACGAUGCAACCAACAAAGCUGUAUAUACAAACAACUAUACAACUCAACAGCAAAAAAAUAAACAACCCAAUCAAAAAAUGGGCAGGAGACCGAAAUAGACAUUUCUCCAAUGAGGACAUAAGGAUGGCCAGUAGGCACAUGAAAAGAUGCUCAACAUCGCUAACUAUCAGUGAAAUGCAGAUCAAAACUACAAUGAAUGAAGUACCACCUCACACCAGUCAGAAUGGUCAUCAUUAAUAAGUCUACAAAUAACAAAUGCUGGAGAGGGGGUGGUGAAAAGGGAACCCUCUUACACUGUUUGUAGGAAUGUAAACUGGUAUAAUCACUAUGGAAAACAGUAUAAAGUUUUCUCAGAAAAGUAAAUGUAGGACUACCACAUGAUCCAGGAAUCCCACUCCUGGGCACAUAUCAAAACAAAACUACAAUUCAAAAAGAUACAUGCACGCAUAUGUUCAUAGUAGCCCUAUUCACAAUAGCCGAGACAUAGAAAUAAGCUAAAUGUCCAUCAAAGAUGAAUGGAUUAAGAUGUAGUACAUAUACACAAUGGAAUACUACUCAAUCACUCAAUCAUAAAAAAAUGAAAUAAUGCCAUUUGCAGCAACAUGGAUGCAACUAGAGAUUCCCAUAUUAAGUGAAGUAAGUCAGAAAGAGAAAGACAGAUACUAUAUGAUAUCAUUUUUAUGUAGAAUCUAAAAUGUGGUACGACUGAACCUAUCCACAGAACAGAAACAGACUCACAGACAUGGAGAACAGAUUUGUGGUUGCCAAGCGGGAGGAGGGAGAGAAGGAUGAAGGGGGCAAUGUGGGGUUGGCAGAUGCAAAUUAUUACAUUUAAAAUGGAUAAGCAAUGAGGUCCUACCGUAUAGCACAAGGAACUAUAUUCAAUCACUUGGGACAGGACAUGAUGUAAGACAGUAUGAGAAAAAGAAUGUAUAUGUAUGUAUGACUGGGUCACUAUGCUACACAGCAGAAAAUGGCACAACACUGUAAAUCAACUAUAAUAAAAAAAUAAAUAAAAUGUAAAAAAAAACAAAAAUACUAAUUCGAAAAGACAUAUGUACACCAAUGCCCAUUCAGCACUACUUACAAUUGCCAAGAUACUGAAGCAACCUAGGUGUCCACAGAUAGAUGAAUGAUUAAAGAAGAUGUGGAAUAUAUAUAUAUAUAUAUAUGAAUAUUAUUCAUCUAUAAAAAAAGUGAAAUCUUGCCAUUUGUGAAAACACAGAUGGACCUAGACAGUAUAAUACUAAGUGAAAAAAGCCAUACAAAGAAAGACAAAUACCACAUAAAUUUCACUUACAUAUAGAGUCCAAAAAAUAAAACAAAGCAAAGCAAAACAAAAACAUACUCAUAGAUAUAGAGAACGAUCUGGUGAUUAUCAGAAGGGAGAUUACCAAAAGGGUGGGAGGUUGAGUGAAAUAAGUGAGGGAGAUUAAGUGGUACAAAUUUUCAGUAAAAUAAAUGUCACAGAGUUGUAAUGUACAGCAAAGGGAAUAUAUAGUCAAUAAUAUUGUAAUAUCUUUUUACGGUGACAGAUGGUAACUAGAAUUAUCCGGGCAAUCAUUUUGUAAUGUAUAAAAUUACCAAAUCACUAUAUUGUACACCUGAAACUAAUAUAAUACUGAAAGUCAAUUAUAUUUUAACUAACAAAAAAUUCAAACUUGGAAGAUGGAAGGAUGAGAAAUGCUUUCAUGAAAUACGUAGUAUUUGAGUUAGACCUUGGAAUAGAGUAGGAUUUCAGACAACACAGAUGAAGGAGGAGCAUUCAAUACACAGAAUAACAGAACAGAUGCAAACAGCAAAACAUAAAAAAAAAAAAAAACACCUGUUUUAGGGAAUGGUUCCGCAUAAGUGGAGAAGAGGGUAUGUGAUGCAUAUAGUAGAAGGAAAGACCAAGCAAGACAGGUUAAGGUUUGACCUCCAAGGCUCUGCAUGUCACACUUAAGUCUGGACAAUUAGUAAUCUUUACCUAAAAUAUAAACAUGGGAGAUCUCCAGGAAAGGAAUAAAAUAAGCAGAACUGUUAAAAUCUAGUGAACUCUGUUGAAAGGAAACUGGAUAGAUGACAAAAUGAAGGAUGGAAAACUACUUCAAUUAUUACAGGACUGUAAAAAUUCAGGGCAGAGCAAUGGCAUUGAGAAAAUCCAGAUACUAAAGAGUAGUACAGGAGUUCCCACUAUGUCGCAGCAGAAUGGGUGGUGUCUCUGCAGUGUAGGAUGCAGGUUCAAUCCCUGGCCUGGUACAGUGGGGUAAAGGAUCCAGGGUUUCCACAGUUACAGCGUGGGUCACAGCAGUGGCUCAGAUCUGCUCCCUGUCCAAGUAACUAAAAAUGCCACAAGGGCAGCCAAAAAAGGAAAAAAAAAAAAUAGUUUAAACACCACCUUCACUGUGGAGCUGCAGGUAGUCUCUCCCACCUCUGUCCUCCUAAAAUGCUACUCAUGAUACAAUUACAACUGUCUUACAUGUGCGUUUCCCCCUUAAAACUGCUUGAUGCUAACAGCUAAGUUUCAUUCACUUUUAUACCCCUAGUACCCAGCUCAGUGAAAGACUAUCGUUUGGGAGCAGUCACUGGCAUUCCUUGGUACCCUGGCCAUAAGGUUACUUUAAUACUAGUUAUACAGCUAGAUUGGGCUGUUUCUCUACCACUUUCACAGACAUACAAGAAUAAACCUCAAAAGAAGGCUGUUCAAGUUUAAAAAGUCCUAGUCAUAGGGGAGUUCCCGUGGUUAACGUAUCCAACUAGGAACCAUGAGGUUGAGGGUUCGAUCCCUGGCCUUGCUCAGUGGGUUAAGGAUCCGGCGUUGCCGUGAGCUGUAGUGUAGGUUACAGAUGCGGCUCGGAUCCCACGUUGCUAUGGCUCUGGCGUAGGCUGGCAGCUACAGCUCCAAUUAGACUCCUAGCCUGGAAACCUCCAUAUGCCAAGGGAGCGGCCCUAGAAAAGGCAAAAAAAAAAAAAGAGUAAUUAUCUUUUUCUUUUGAUCAUACACAAAGUACUUACUGAUAUGCUACAACAUCAGUAUUAUCUCUUUAGUGCACACAUUAUGUAAGACAAAUUCAAAAAUAAUUACGGAAGGAAAAUAUCAGGAACUAUAAAAAAAUUAAUGAGUUAAUUAAAUUAAUAAACUAGUCAUCAUUAGAAUCUGCCUUCCCCAAUAGUUUUCCAGAAUUACAAAUUAAGUCAAUCACUAACAAGGGUACGAGUUAGCAAUUCUGAAACAACUUUAUAUGAAGGUGGAAUAAAUAAUAUGCUAUAGAUAUAGAUAACGACAGCUGAGUUUCUCACUGUCAAAAAAAGAAGUUACAAACCAAGAAAAGAGGAGGGCUAGAACCCUAUGGUAUUAGGUGGAACGCACAAGUGUUUGUGUAUGUGUAUGUACACAGAGUCAAUCAUACAUAUACACAUACCUAUGGAUAUACAUACACAUAUAUUUAUAUACAUACACAGAUUCAGAUAUAAAUAACAGAUGUAAACCAAGCAUGGGUCAGUAAAUGUACAUAAAUAUCCUAGCUCCAUCUGCUGAUAAUAUGGACAUCCUAGUAGCAAUGAACAAACCUAAAGCCCAGGUCUUAGUUUCUAAUACCAUUCACGAAUAAACCAGGGCUUCAUUGAGAAGUGGUUGAUUCUAGGUCUGAGAUGGAGAAAAUACAAAAUGAAUCUGGACCAAUUUUAUGGUGCCAGAAAGGUUAAGUCCUCAAAAGAGAAUAAACAUAUUCAAAGUAUCCAGGGGCCAACCUUGAAAGAGCUCCCAACUGCCCAAGAGGAAAAAUAUCAGUACCAAAAUAAAUAGUAAGAGUACCAAAUUAUAACCCAGAGAAUAAAACAAAUAUCAAUGAUUACAUACAGAUGUAAGUAAACUGAAUAAAUAAAUUAGAAGAGGCAUGGAGUUCCCUUCGUGGCACAGUGGUUAACGAAUCUGACUAGGAACCAUGAGAUUGCAGGUUCAAUACCUGGCCUUGCUCAGUGGGUUAAGGAUCCAGCAUUGCCGUGAGCUGUGGUGUAGGUUACAGACGCGGCUCGGAUCCCGUGUUGCUGUGGCUCUGGCGUAGGCAGGCGGCUGCAGCUCCAAUUCGACCCCUAGCCUGGGAACCUCCAUAUGCCACAGGAGCAGCCCUAGAAAAGGCAAAAAGACAAAAAAAUAAAUAAAUUAGAAGAGGCAGCCCUUUCAUACAGAAAAUUCCAAUCAAUAAAUUUAAGAAGAGUUCCUGCUGUAGCUCAGCAGGUUAAGAACCUGACUAGUAUCUAUGAGGAUGUGGGUUGGAUCCCUGACCUCACUUAGUGGAUUGAGGAUCCUGCAUUCCUGUGAGCUGUUGUAUAGAUCUCAGACGCAGCUCAGAUCCGGGGUGACUACAGCAUAGGCCGGCAGCUGCUGCUUCUAUUCUACCCCAGCCUGGGAACUU
RNAcentral lists this long non-coding RNA (8502 nucleotides) under Sus scrofa (pig). The record is from RNAcentral. Lineage: Eukaryota; Metazoa; Chordata; Mammalia; Artiodactyla; Suidae.